Molecule: ribosomal RNA, 445 nt
Filed under: uncultured bacterium
Lineage: Bacteria
Description: partial 16S ribosomal RNA
Rfam family: Bacterial small subunit ribosomal RNA
Source: RNAcentral
GUGAGGAAUAUUGGACAAUGGGCGCAAGCCUGAUCCAGCCAUGCCGCGUGCAGGAAGACGCAUCUAUGGUGUGUAAACUGCUUUUGUACGGGAAGAAACACUCCCUCGUGAGGGAGCUUGACGGUACCGUAAGAAUAAGGAUCGGCUAACUCCGUGCCAGCAGCCGCGGUAAUACGGAGGAUCCAAGCGUUAUCCGGAAUCAUUGGGUUUAAAGGGUCCGUCGGCGGUUUAAUAAUUCAGUGGUUAAAGCCCAUCGCUCAACGAUGGAACGGCCAUUGAUACUGUUAGACUUGAAUUACAAGGAAGUAACUAGAAUAUGUAGUGUAGCGGUGAAAUGCUUAGAUAUUACAUGGAAUACCAAUUGCGAAGGCAGGUUACUACUUGUGGAUUGACGCUGAUGGACGAAAGCGUGGGGAGCGAACAGGAUUAGAAACCCGAGUAGUCC